CAGCCGCCGCGGUAACACGUAGGGUGCAAGCGUUAAUCGGAAUUACUGGGCGUAAAGCGUGCGCAGGCGGUUAUAUAAGACAGAUGUGAAAUCCCCGGGCUCAACCUGGGAACUGCAUUUGUGACUGUAUAGCUAGAGUACGGCAGAGGGGGAUGGAAUUCCGCGUGUAGCAGUGAAAUGCGUAGAUAUGCGGAGGAACACCGAUGGCGAAGGCAAUCCCCUGGGCCUGUACUGACGCUCAUGCACGAAAGCGUGGGGAGCAAACAGGAUUAGAUACCCCGGUAGUCCCUGUCUCUUAUAC
This 301-nucleotide ribosomal RNA is filed under the name uncultured bacterium. RNAcentral's name for it is "partial 16S ribosomal RNA". It matches the Rfam family "Bacterial small subunit ribosomal RNA", at positions 509 to 807 of the family's 1533-position model. The record is from RNAcentral.